UGUGGAGCUUCCUCAUAUUGUCUCCUUCUCCGCCCCAAGCAAACAAGUCCCUAAUAAUUUCCAGGCUCCUGUGGCAUCUAGGUGGCUGAAGAAACCGGGGAGCUGAAGGACCAGGCCAUGCAGCCUCUUCCUGGCUGCUGGCCUCACCCUCUCCUCCUCGGGCUCAGCUCUCCUGCCUCAGGGAUCCAUCUGUCUGUCUCUGAGCUCCAGAACCACACAGCUUCCUUGGAACUGCUUCUCCUCUCUCAUGCCACAAUUGGAGGAUGCAAUUUUCUUCAUCUUUAUAGGCAACUGGAAGAAGGCUUGUCUCCCCACUACAUGGAAAGCCCAAGAAAUGUUCCAAUUCUCUGAAUCCUACUGGAAAUAUGGAGACACCCAUAUGGGGGCCAAACAGCCAGCAUCCCAGGCUGUUCCAUUCCAACAGACGUUGUGGAGAUGGAGUAAAGAGGGGCUGGAGAAGGAGUGGGCUGAGAAGCAGGGUUCAGGUUAAAGGUAAGAGAAUAGUCUCAUAAAGAAGAUGGAAGAUAGAGCCUCUCAAGACAAUUCAUGGGACAUCAAAUAAUCCAGAAAACACACAUCCGCAGGAGCAAGGACCAAAGAGUGCAAUCCAUGUCUUAACUCAUCUCAGAAUUUCAAAAUAACAAGAAACUUGCUGUUGCCAAAUUCACUGUGGAGAAAUAGCUCUGACCAUGCAGAGAACUGACACUAGCAAUGUCAUCUCUCUGACACUAGCAAUGUCAUCUCUCUGACACUGGCAAUGUAGUGUGGGAAAUGGAAUCAAUCUCUGCUUCCCUGUGUUGGAACAAAAUGUUUGUACACGAGAAAUGAAGGAAAGAGUUUUCCCAAAUUGCAAGGGAAAUGCACCAUAGAAUAACCUCCUACAAUUUAAAGAUAAUUAAACACAAAUUUGUCUUGUACAUUUAUAUAUUUUAUUACAUUUUAUAAAUCAGAAUCUGAUUUAGUGUGAAAUUAUAUUCUGAGAUUUUUAUGUUUGACAUAUUAGUAAACCAAGUGUUUUGCAAUUAAAAAAAAAUGACUUCUAAGUGC
Non-coding RNA from Callithrix jacchus (white-tufted-ear marmoset), 1047 nucleotides. NCBI's taxonomy places the organism in Eukaryota, Metazoa, Chordata, Mammalia, Primates, Cebidae. The record is from RefSeq and is a predicted model, not a curated record.